Molecule: ribosomal RNA, 253 nt
Filed under: uncultured bacterium
Lineage: Bacteria
Description: partial 16S ribosomal RNA
Rfam family: Bacterial small subunit ribosomal RNA
Source: RNAcentral
GACGUAGGGGGCAAGCGUUGUCCGGAAUCAUUGGGCGUAAAGCGCGUGUAGGCGGCCCGGUAAGUCCGCUGUGAAAGUCCAGGGCUCAACCUCGAGCUGUCGGUGGAAACUGUCUGGCUAGAGUCCGGAAGAGGAGAGUGGAAUUCCUGGUGUAGCGGUGAAAUGCGCAGAUAUCAGGAAGAACACCUAUGGCGAAGGCAGCUCUCUGGGACGGUACUGACGCUGAGACGCGAAAGCGUGGGGAGCGAACAGG